CUCCUGGCCUGACGCUCUCACACAGUCACAUGGAUGGCUUGCUGGCUCUCUUCUCUGGGUUCCGUGCGGUUUCUUUGGUUUACGAUAAUCAGUUUACGAUAAAGGCUCCGUUUAGAUUGCAAAACUUUAUAACAUUUGGAACUGUAGCGUUUUCGUUUGUAUUUGACAAAUUUUAUCUAAUCAUGGACUAACUAGGCUUAAAAGAUUCGUCUCGUGAUGUACAAUUAAACUGUGCAAUUAGUUAUUUUUCUUACAUACAUUUACUGCUCCAUGCAUAUGUUCUAAAAUUGAUGUGAUGGAGAGAGAGUGUAAAAAUUAUAACAUUUUGAGUGCAUCUAAACAAGGCCAAAGUACGGCUGUGCUGUAAAAGAGUAAGAGUUUGAUCACG
Molecule: long non-coding RNA, 388 nt
Filed under: Panicum hallii
Lineage: Eukaryota; Viridiplantae; Streptophyta; Magnoliopsida; Poales; Poaceae
Description: long non-coding RNA (PHAL_LNC000479)
Source: RNAcentral